This is a long non-coding RNA of Gallus gallus (chicken), 559 nucleotides long. The record is from Ensembl. Lineage: Eukaryota; Metazoa; Chordata; Aves; Galliformes; Phasianidae.
CGGGCGGGGAGGUGCGCGGCGGGGCCGGGCGCGGAGCUCGGCUCCCCAGACAAUAGGGGACGGCGGGGCUCGGAGAGGAGGGACCCGGUGCAACGCAUCCAGCGCGCCGUGUUCCGCGAGCAGACAUAAAUCUCUCACGACGCUCUCCCAAACAGGCCAAGGGUAGUUCACAUAGAGGGCUGGCUUCGCACACGCUCACCCCGCUCCUCGUAUUCUUUGGAUGGAGGAAGGCUGGCAGCAAGGUGCACAGACAAAAGACCGGGGAGCCAACGCACGCAAUCACUCGCUGCUACAUCUUCACGUAUUUUUACAAUACGCUCUCCUAUCCACACCGCUUCCAAAAUAAUUUUCAGCCAGCCCUGCCUCUCGUCGCACGUAAACUUACGCCGUCACAGGAAUUCUGUUGACUCUCAUGAUGACAUAUGAAAGUGGCAAAACGAGGUUUUGCGCCCGGAUUUCGCCUUCAGACAAAGCUCCCCCAGCAACUUCAUCAGCAGGGAAUUAUAGUUUCACCCGGAGAAACUGGGUCCAAGGGAAAAAGAAAAUAAAAGUUAAGUGG